GGAAGACAUUCCAGAAAUAACUGCGGCAUUUAGCACUGAUUUCUGUUCUCCUUCACUACGCUGGCAUGCUGUCUGACAGGACGUGAGACUGCAGAGAAGCCAACCUCACAGCAAAGUCAUGCUUGCAUUGGCCACAACUGUUUGUAAGCAGUGCCAGAAAAUACUGUGUUGCUUAGCCCUGAGAUUCUUCAGGAGCAGGUCACCCCUGUGAGAAGAUCACCUUCCCAUCCUGUGGGUAUCCACCUCUUCAUGGCUUAUUCCUAAAAGUCUGAAGACUCUAAAUUUAAACGUUUUUCUUCAUUUAUUCCUAAAUGAAGAUAUUCUCCUCAUUUAAGAAACUGCUUAUUUUGACAAAAUCAGGAGAGAUUUUAUGCAUUAUAUUCAUAAAUAAAUCUCUCUAUGUUGAUGAAGAAAAGUUAAAAAUUUUAAAUGACAUCUGUAGCAGCCCUCAGCGCAGUUUCUCAUCCGUGAAAACUCAGAGAAAGAAGAAAAUUCUCAACGCUGACAACCACGACUGAAGACAACCUCGUGUUUCGAUUAAAGGUUUGCAAAAACGUUGCUGACUACAGGGCAGGUGAUGAUUAAUAGAGGAAAACCAAUCCUGGAAACACUGGCUGAUGGAGAGAGCGCCAGAGGAAGGGGAGGAUAGUUAUUCCUCUUUGCCCAUGUGCCUGCUGUCUCAGAGACCCAGAAUCUUCACCAACCAUAAGUCUAAGAGCACGAGAAUGAGGAAUCAUGGCACAAAAGGAUGAGUGAAUGUUGUAGAGAUUGUUUCAGCCUGACUUUGAUCUCCACUGCAAGAAUGAACUGAAUUCAAUAAUAGAGGGAAUUGCAAUGCACAUCGGACCCCAAGGGGAUCAGCCCAUCCUUUAGUGGAGGGCUCCUGCCUCACUUCACACUGAAAUUUAAACUCCUUCUCUGGUCCCUGGUAACUACAGCUCUGGAGUCACAGGACCAGACAACUGGGAUCCAUGAAGGCAUCUCAGGACUCACCGUCCACUCCCUCACUUCCCAGGGAGGACACUGGUCACCCACAGGGAUUAUGUGAUUUGUCCAAGGUGACAGCACAAGUCAGUGUCAAGAUGCCCACUCUCCUAUAGUCCUAGUCACUGUCCUGCCCAGCUUGCUGCCUCUCUUGAGACUUUGAGAAGGAGCACAAGGCCAUGCCAAUUUCCAUGCUCAGCACAAACACUCACACCACCCCCACUGCUCUCCAGGGAUCACUCACACAGAACCUCAGCCAGUACCUACACACUGCUAACAGACUCCCACAAAUGUGAGGCAGCUGAACUCAGCUUCCCACGAGCACUCAGCAGAGGGAAGACCAUAGGAAACUGUGAGAGUCUAGUUGGCUGCCAAUUUAUUAAUAUGUUGUAGGACUUCAACAAUAGAAUCUCAUCCUCAGACUCAAGCUACACAUGGAUGCCUCCCUCCAAUAAGCCAUGGUGCUACAUUCAGUGCCUCUUACCCUGCUGUGCAUCACGGGAUGAGGACAUCAGAGCCAGGUUCCAGCCCAGUGUCCAUCACUAACCUCACCCUGGAAGAGUAAUAAGAAUCAUCUCACCUCUCCUGGCAUCCAUCUCCUCCCCUGUGGAAUGUUAUGUGGUCACCUGGAUAAUAUCUAGGGUGCCAGUAUCACUAUUCUAGGCUUCCGUGAUGGUAAACAAGGGCUUGGGAAGAAGGAAGCUAGUGAUGACUAUGAAGACAGCCCAAGAGAUACACAGGACUCUCUCAAGGCAACGUACAUUUCCUGGGUGAGAAACCAGGCUCCAGGCAGAGAACACAUCUUUUCCUUAAUUGUAAUAAAAACCAGGGAGACGUGGUCUAUUUUUCAUGCACCUUCAAAGCCACUGGUGCACACAAAACUAAUAGCACCUGCUUCAAACAGCAGCAGCUCUUUGACCUCCAGCCUAAUUAGCGCAUUUCUCCAGUGAAACCAUCUGGACAGGGUCCGCCCUGGCUCAUUUCCUUCAUUAACAAAUCUUCCAAGUGGCAACAGAAGUCUCCUGUGUUGGCGCCAACCUUACAGGCACACCUCACGGCUGACAGGGCCCGAAGUGUGGUGGCAUUUUUCAUUUUCUAAUCAAAGGGGUCAGCGUAAAUGGGUGUUGGCAGUUGACGGCUGCAGCUGUCUGAUGUGUCAACUCCUUGCCACACAGAGUUUCUAAUAAAUGGUGCUGGAAAAAUAAUUCACCCCUCAGCUUUCUGUCACAGCGGCUAUGGUGGGAGAUCCUUGGGUGGCCGCUUUCCUGUCCCACUUAUUUGUGCAAGAGGUGGGGAGUGUGUACAUGUAGACACAGUUACAUCCAUGCAUAAACACUCAUGCACAGGAAUGGGAUGGAGGAGCCCUGCAUUACUGUGGUCGUGUUUUUAGUACUCAACCCUGAAAACCAAGGAGAGUGGGUGGGGAGGGACACCAGCAUCUGCUAAUACUUAACGCGAGCAUGGAAGCCACUAAAAGAUGUGGAGGAGGGCAGCUCUUGAAGCUGCUGGUGGCCCUCUGUCCUCAUGCACAGGUGAUAAGAAUGACAGGGGUCCAGCACCUGGUCAGGCCAGGGCAGGGCAUGCUUAACUGGAAGUCCACAUGGGUCGCAGAAGGCAGGGAGACACAAAAUGCUGUGGCUGCAGCAUCCAGAGAAGCCCAUCCAUCUUAACCUCAGAUCCAAGCUGAGGGGCUAUCAAGAAAGGAAAGGAUUGUAAAAUAGCUCAUUCUUUGCUCACAGAACCUCAGCACACAAAGAGAGAACCAAGUACUCAAACUAGAGAAAGUAUCAUGAACACGGUAAAGAAAUACUCCCAAAGAAGGAGAAGGGCCUGAGUUAAUCUUUCAGAACUUCUUGGAAGAAGUAACCCUACCUAGCAAUGCUGGGAAGAAACACUAUACUUGCAGUCAACUUGAAAUUAGUACAGUAGUCCCCCCUUAUCCAUGGUUUUAGUUACCCAGGGUCAACUGUAGUCCAAAAAUAUUAAGUGAAAAAUUCCAGAAACAAACAAUUUAUAAGUUUUAAAUUGCAUAACAUUCUGAGUAGCAAGAUGAAAUCUCAUGCUUCAUUGUUCAGUCCCAUCCAGGAUGGGAAUCAUCCCUUGGUCUGGGAGAUUCACACUGUAAGCCCUGCCUACCUACCCUGAGUCACU
RNAcentral lists this long non-coding RNA (3135 nucleotides) under Homo sapiens (human). Its description in RNAcentral is "HSALNT0199189". The record is from RNAcentral. Lineage: Eukaryota; Metazoa; Chordata; Mammalia; Primates; Hominidae.